Long non-coding RNA from Oncorhynchus keta (chum salmon), 706 nucleotides. RefSeq lists it as uncharacterized. The record is from RefSeq and is a predicted model, not a curated record. The transcript is spliced from 4 exons. NCBI's taxonomy places the organism in Eukaryota, Metazoa, Chordata, Actinopteri, Salmoniformes, Salmonidae.
UGUGUCUGUGUUUCCAGCCUAUAGCUACCAGAGCCUGUGUCUACACUAACAGACACAAGAACCACAUCUACUCCUGCAGGUAGGGGAGUGUGUGUCUGUGUUUCCAGCCUAUAGCUACCAGAACCUGUGUCUACACUAACAGACACAAGAACCACAUCUACUCCUGCAGGUAGGGGAGUGUGUGUUUGUGUUUCCAGCCUAUAGCUACCAGAACCUGUGUCUACACUAACAGACACAAGAACCACAUCUACUCCUGCAGGUAGGGGAGUGUGUGUCUGUGUUUCCAGCCUAUAGCUACCAGAGCCUGUGUCUACACUAACAGACGCAAGAACCACAUCUACUCCUGCAGGUAGGGGAGUGUGUGUCUGUGUUUCCAGCCUAUAGCUGCAGCUACCAGAGCCUGUCUACACUAACAGACACAAUAUUAACAUUACACUCCUGCAGGUACAGUACACUCUUAGAACAAAGGUGCUAUCUAGAACCGACAAGGGUUCUUCGGAACCCUUUUUGCUGCCAGGCAGAACCUUUUGGGGUUCCAUGACUUUCCACAGAGGGUUCUACCUGGAACCAAAAAUGGUUCUCCUAUGGGGACAGCUGAAAUGCCCUUUUGGAACCUUUUUUUCUACGAGUGUAGUCAUACUGCAACCAACAGAACUACAAGGUAGGCCCAUAGAGUUAAGAUAUUGACAGUAACCUGUCUUUGCGU